GGUUAAAAAGCUCGUAGUUGGAUCUCGGCAAGUAGAGGGCGGUAUGCUUCGUAGCAUUACUGCCCUAUUACUUGUAGUUUUGCCAGAGGUUCCUGGGUGCUCUUAAUCGAGUGUCUAGGGAUGCUGGCAGGUUUACUUUGAAAAAAUUAGAGUGCUCAAAGCAGGCUAUUACGCUUGAAUAUUCGUGCAUGGAAUAAUAGAAUAGGAAGUUGUUUCUAUUUUGUUGGUUUUCGGAAAUCGACUUAAUGAUUAAUAGGGACAGUCGGGGGCAUUUGUAUUCAAACGACAGAGGUGAAAUUCUUGGACCGUUUGAAGACAAACUACUGCGAAAGCAUUUGCCAAGAAUGUUUUCAUUAAUCAAGAACGAAAGUUAGAGGUUCGAAGGCGAUUAGAUACCGCCCUAGUUCUAACCAUAAACGAUGCCAGCUAGCGAUCUGAGGACGUUUUCUUUGUAGACUCCUCAGGAAGCUUCCGGGAAACCAAAGCGUGUGGGUUCCGGGGGAAGUAUGGUUGCAAAGCUGAAACUUAAAGGAAUUGACGGAAGGGCACCACCAGGAGUGGAGCCUGCGGCUUAAUUUGACUCAACACGGGAAAUCUCACCAGGCCCGGACACUGGAAGGAUUGACAGAUUGAGAGCUCUU
Molecule: ribosomal RNA, 641 nt
Filed under: uncultured marine eukaryote
Lineage: Eukaryota
Description: SSU rRNA
Rfam family: Eukaryotic small subunit ribosomal RNA
Source: RNAcentral